UACGUAGGCAGCGAGCGUUGUUCGGAGUUACUGGGCGUAAAGAGUGCGUAGGCGGUUUUCUAAGUUUGGUGUGAAAUCUCCCGGCUUAACUGGGAGGGUGCGCCGAAAACUGGAAGGCUUGAGUAUGGGAGAGGUAAGCGGAAUUCCUGGUGUAGCGGUGAAAUGCGUAGAUAUCAGGAGGAACACCUGCGGUGUAGACGGCUUACUGGACCAUAACUGACGCUGAGGCACGAAAGCGUGGUAGCAAACAGG
RNAcentral lists this ribosomal RNA (252 nucleotides) under uncultured bacterium. RNAcentral describes it as "partial 16S ribosomal RNA". It matches the Rfam family "Bacterial small subunit ribosomal RNA", at positions 524 to 776 of the family's 1533-position model. The record is from RNAcentral.